GACGAACGCUGGCGGCGUGCUUAACACAUGCAAGUCGAACGGAAAGGCCUCUUUCGGGGGGUACUCGAGUGGCGAACGGGUGAGUAACACGUGAGUAACCUGCCCUUGACUUUGGGAUAACUUCAGGAAACUGGGGCUAAUACCGGAUAGGAGCUCCUGCUGCAUGGUGGGGGUUGGAAAGUUUCGGCGGUUGGGGAUGGACUCGCGGCUUAUCAGCUUGUUGGUGGGGUAGUGGCUUACCAAGGCUUUGACGGGUAGCCGGCCUGAGAGGGUGACCGGCCACAUUGGGACUGAGAUACGGCCCAGACUCCUACGGUAGGCAGCAGUGGGGAAUAUUGCACAAUGGGUGGAAGCCUGAUGCAGCAACGCCGUGUGCGGGAUGACGGCCUUCGGGUUGUAAACCGCUUUCGCUCAUGACGAAGCUUUGUGUGACGGUAGUGGGUAAAGAAGCACCGGCCAACUACGUG
This 467-nucleotide ribosomal RNA is filed under the name uncultured bacterium. Its description in RNAcentral is "partial 16S ribosomal RNA". It matches the Rfam family "Bacterial small subunit ribosomal RNA", at positions 28 to 507 of the family's 1533-position model. The record is from RNAcentral.